AUAUUCUCUUUUUUUUUUUUUUUUCUUUUUUCUUUUUUUUUUUUUUUUCCGUGUUUACAAAAGAAAAGACAGUACUAAAAGUAUUUACAGAAACGCAACGAGGCGGGACCUCUCUGAACGCCACUAACACGGAAGGCAGCCGGCAGCUCCACUCAGACAGGAAUGGACGUUUCGGUGAGCCUCGGGCAAAGCGGAUCACCGGCACGCGACUUCUUUGCUGCUGCUCUGGUGGUGUUUGGAACAAGACAGACAAGAUCAAUCUACUGCAGCAUCAAUAACCAGAGGGGAUCAGAUAUAUCUGUUCCUGUUCAGCACUCUGAAAGGGUACCUAGGGGAAACUAAGCUGGAAGGCACCCUAAAAUGUGAAGUGGAUGCUAGGUCACCCGCACUACCAAUUUCUACAGAUCUGAUCCUGAUGAACCUACACUAUCUGUUAAUCUACUGAUGGUCACAGUUCACUGGAAAGAAGAAGAAAAAAAACACCAAUAACAACAAAAAACAAACCAACAGAAUUUCACACACUUCCAGCUUCAUGGAACAUGGGGUGGAUGGUAAUUGGUGUGGUCUGUUUACUGAAAACUUCAUGUCCUCAAAAGUCACAAGUGCUUCGAGUAUGCAGACAAGCCAGAGAGGAGCUUACAUUUAGAAAGGCUCGCAUGCAGGAGAUGGCAAUGGUUGCCCUGCGAUCUCACUGCUCCUUUGUGAAGCAGGACUGGGCUGAGUGUCCGGGCUAUUUUGAAGGUGUUGGCUUCAACAGCUUCCACUGGCUCACUUCCUCCCAAAGUCAGGAGUUUGGAUUAUGCAGCCAUGCCAGCAGACCAGCCAUGUGAUACAUCUUUGGCAAGGAAACUUUAUUUGAAUUGUGUGCAAGCCGUGUGCAACACAAGGUUAGCCUCUGCUGAAAUAUAAAGCCUAAAAUUAUUUUUGCAGUCCUCUGAGAUGAACUAUAAAUAGUUCUACAGUAUAUACAAUUGAUUUCCUAAAUGUGAUUGAGACUAUUCUAUAUAGAUCAUAAAGAACUGUUUUAAAAUAGUAACAGAAAAUCUUGUUUCAUUUGAUAUGUAAUCUCAGUUUCAUUAUAAAUGAAAUAUUAAGGACUUUCUCAUAGAUUUGCCUUUUUGGAAACAUGAACUUCUUACCAAAAUUUAUCAAUAUACCAAACUCUCACUUAUGUUCGGAAUUUCUUUUUCAGGAAAAAGGAAAACGUUGUAUAAUGUUGAAUAUCAGUGGAAUAUAGUACUUAAGUAUUUCAUUAAUGAACCAUUCUUUUCUCCUAAGCACUUUAAUAAAGGCUGUGUCAAA
Cygnus olor (mute swan) is the source of this 1302-nucleotide long non-coding RNA. RefSeq lists it as uncharacterized. The record is from RefSeq and is a predicted model, not a curated record. Lineage: Eukaryota; Metazoa; Chordata; Aves; Anseriformes; Anatidae. The transcript has 5 exons.